Coturnix japonica (Japanese quail) is the source of this 6251-nucleotide non-coding RNA. Lineage: Eukaryota; Metazoa; Chordata; Aves; Galliformes; Phasianidae. The record is from RefSeq and is a predicted model, not a curated record.
GUAUACCAAAGCAUUAGCAGUUAAAUGUGUAAACACACACAGACAACACAUUUUCUCUUCCUUCAAUCAAAUGCCAUCUAAGCAGAAUUACUAAUUACAAGUAGUAUCUUCAGAAGCUUACUUAGCACUCUGAAGAUAUUCAGACAUCUUUCAUGGUUUAGUCCUUCUAAAUCCAUUUUGUAACUUUUAUUAGGAAUUAAAAAAGCACUGUAUAAGGCUGCUUUCUGUCUUAAAAAAAUUAUUCCCCUAUUUUAAGCUGCUUUUCUCCAUAAUAGUCAAGGAAGAGUAGCUGCCUAAGUGAGAGGAUUGUCUAAUUCAGUCAAUACAUUCUGUAAUACUAAUUGUGAAAUAGAAGAAGUGCUCUUGAACGUAGCUAAGCAGGAGCCAUCAAAACCAAGGACAUUCUCAUCUCCGUGAGGAUAAGAAAGGGAAGAGUGCGGUGCUUUACCACACUUAUGAAGAAUAAAAUCAAACCCAAUUCUACUUUAUCAUUGCCUUUUGAGGGAGUACUGAAAUAAAUAAAAUGGGCAUAAUACAAAAGUUACCACAUCCAUUCCACCUAUGCACAUCUGGGCUGGCGACACUGCCUGGAAAACAGUGACUGGCCAUGGUCACAGCAUCUCCUUGACCAUCACCAGGGCCCUCAGCUGGGUACCAGCCCCUGCUAACAGGAUUUUCUCUCUCCCAUUGUGAAUGGGCCCCCCGCUCACCUGUGGCACUGUGGGGGCAGCAGCAAUGUGUGCCCUCCCCAGGGCUGGCAUGUGGGGCCAGCCAGGUGGUCAGGUCUGGGGAAGGGCCCGUCUCUAAACAUGCAUGCGGUGGGCUGAGGCUCCACCAGGCAGCUCCCGGAGUGCCUCUCCGCUCGUUCAAAGCCCAGGCAAUGAAAAAGUCCUUCCCCCAGUGGAAACACGUCUGCUCUGCAAUAAGCCUCCUUAGACAUGCCUUUGCUGUGUGGCAGCCCACAGGCGUGGAAGCUGCACUUGCUAGACUAAGAGGAAACAGCAUACCAGGACAGAAACAUCGUCUUGAAAAGACAGCUCAACAAGGAGAAGAAAACCCAACUCUUACCUGGCAGCAGAAACCCCCAGAUGGUGCCUACCUGUUGCUUCUCAUUGCGUGUCAGAAUCAGGAAGGAACUUCAGAAAGGAAAGGCAGCUUGAAGAGACAGCAGGCUUCUACCUACAGAAGUAUGGACAGGCAUGGUGAUCCCCAACUGUUUUCUCUCUGUUCACAUCACGGAACUAUUUGUAUAAAAGCAUGGGGGAAAAUAUGGGGAACAGUGGGAAAACAAAAACAAGUCUCAUUUAAAUAAAUAUUUUAAAGAAAUGAUCAUGGUCUCUUUCUAAGUAUUUGCUGUGGCAAAGAAAGAUGGUGUUGGAAAGCAAAGCCUCUAAGCCCACAGUGUUGAGCCAGCCAUGGCCAGGUGGGCAAGGGGUGGGAUAGCAUCACCGCAGGCAUUUCUCCAGCUGCUCUGACAAUAGCCUGCUGACACCCAACAUUUUCUCCUCCCUGUGCUUCAUACCAUGCCACUCACCCUCCAUGGAGCAAAGGAUGCAACAGCAGCUUCACACCUGCCUUGCUGGCAUGACUAAUGCUGCCUCUUGCUUGUUUGAACUGAUCUCUGCAGCUCUUCAGCCAGCACUGGAGAUUGCAGUCAUAAAGGAAACACAGCUCAUGGUUGUGACAAAGUCUUUUUUCUCUGCUCUAUGCUUCCACACAGCUAGAAAGCAGAAUGCUUGCACUUUCCCACCCAGUUCACUGCUGGGAACACCACUUCCCAAGCCUGCAAAUUCCAGCUUGCUCCUCAGCACCCAGAUCUCACACACCACCAUAGCCAGCACAGGUCUCACUUCUUGUCCAGUUGACUAGACUGAACUUGCACGCUUUAGCCACCCAAAAAUCUCAAUUGAAAUAAAUGCUAUAAUUGCUUUUUUCUCCCCCAGGACCAAGAAAAAUGUUCUUAGAUGGCAGAAAACUGAAAAACUAAAACCCUCCUUGGCUUCAUACUUCAGCUCAACAGCCCACCAACACAGCCCACUGGUUACACCCAACUCCAUCACCUUGAUGAAAGGAUCCUUUCACAUGUGCAAGCACUCAGGACUUGCUGCACACAUCUCACGUGCUGCUGGCAGGCUUUCAACCUCCACAGUGCUUACUGUUGCUUCAGAUUUAUCAAAGAAGUACUGUGAGUGACUCAAGCUUUUGCCUUGUUGUCACUGUGGGAAAGGGUUCUCCAGAAAUACGCCAGCACUCUGCUGCCUGCUGGCUCUCAGGGGCUUCCAUAGCCCCAAGGCUUAAGGCAGGGCUUCACACGGGUGACAUGUGCACCCUGCUGAGGAGGCGUGAUGUGUUUUUCAUCAAAAAUCACCUGCCUGCCAGGCAAAUCACACUAAAAGCCUCUGAAUAAAUCAUAAUUGGGAAGUAAAUGGAGGCUAACUCUAGCACUGCUGCCUCUGACGCUGGGAUUCAAUAACCACCACAGCAUGAGCUCAAGCCCUGCUUUGAUUUACCUUCAGAGGAAUGUUGUUUUGCUGAAUGAAAGCGAUGAAAUUCAAAGAAAGAUUUAUCAUGUUCAGUUGUUCUCAAAUGAACUGAUGCUAUUUUGCCCUAAUUCAAGGUUUGCCUUUAGUAAUCAGUAUUUAUGCUAACUCUUCCAUUGAUUGCUUAAGCUAGCUGUCACCUCAAUUUCAAUUAUUCCCCCAUACAUUCAGUAACACUUAACAGGUGCGCUUUCCUCAGGAGGCCUGGAAACUGAGAAUGCAUUCAAAGACACAUUUCCUCCUUCCUUUCAAAUUUCCAGGCUUGAAAUCCUACUAAUGUUAGAAAAUAAUAAAACAAAUAUAAGCCAUUCAGAUGUCAAAGGAUGGUUUGUUUGUUGAGCUACUUAAAAAAUUAUAUAUAUAUAUUAAAAAAAAAAAAAAAAAAAAAGAUUAAUCCACCCUAAUUACUGGGAACAGUUCCCUUUAAUGCUGCCAUUAAUUUGACUAAUGCUGCAACAUCAAAAUGAUUAAAACCCCAGGAAACUUAGGCUUCCUUCACACCAAUGGGGCUACUUUUGAUUUUGAAAGAAAAGGAAAAGUUAGCGUGUUGCACAAAGUUUGUUUCAUAUCAUAUUACAUUUUUCUUUCCUCUUUUCCAUGAAUGGCUACUCUGACUCUCUCCGUUUGCCACAACUCAAGGAAUAAUUACAGCAGUGCUGAGCUGAGGAACACCCAUAUUCUCAGACCAAUAUCCAGUUCAGAGCCUUGCGCUACCUGUCAGCUGCAGCAGAUAGGAGAUGCAGGCAGCUGAUUUCAUCUGCCUGUAUGGCAAAGGGAUGCUUGAGAUUCUCUUGCUCAUGCUUAGAUUGAACCUUUUCUGCUUUAAACAGUGACGCAGGAACAUUUCAACCAUAACAGUACUUGAAAAAGCAAUUGAAACUAUUAUAUCUUUUAUGAAUCAUAGAUUUUCCAGCAGGCAAAAGCCUCUGCUUUCUGAGAAAGAAAACCCACAAACUCAUUGCUGCCAUUCCAACCUACUGAGCACUGUUUCUCUUAGAUGGUUCCUCUCCAGUAUGAGCUGGAACUCCCCCAUAUGUGGACCAUUGUGUGCAUCCCACUGGGGCGAUGGCUGAUCAAGGACCUGAUGGUUUCAGUGGGUCCCAGCUGUCUGGCUCAUUCAUAACCAGGUUCAUUGUGAAAAUGGACAAAACUCUCUAAAAUCCCAAGUCCUAUCAAGUACCUAAACUGACAGCCACCCCACACCUACUCAGUUCAUGGCUCAGUUAUUGGAUGCAGAGAUGGCCAGGCUGGGGAAUGGGCUGGACAACCCUCAUGAACUGUACCACAAACCAGUGCUCACUUUGGCAGGAACAGAAGGAUGGAUGGAUGGAUGGAUGGAUGGAUGGAUGGAUGGAUGGAUGGAUGGAUGGAUGGAUGGAAGGAGGGGCCAGGCUGUAUCUAAAAUGGCAGACAGAACUUGAGGAGAACUUUCUAAAGAAAACAAAUGAUCUUAAAGUUGAGAAUGGAAAGCAUGAGAAAGGAUUUGGGAAUGGAAAUUGAUUAGAUCCCAGAUGAUACUUUUAGAAGUAUCUAUCUGAAAUACUACAGACUUAUCUUCCUUCCUCAUUCAGACAGAAUGUUCAGGACUUCUAAUAGUAGAACAUUAAGAGCAUAAGCCCCCAAACCACCAGUCAAAAGGUUCUGAGCAAAUUCUCCUGUGAUCUGGGAUUAUAACUUGAUGAUGUAGAGAUGUUCACACACGAUACCGGGGUAAAAACCAAUGACUAACUAUACCUGCACUGGUGAAAAACGCAUCCUUUGAUCACAACUGCCUGGAAACCACCCACAACCUGAACGUGACAGGCGUUUACUCUGAGAACCAGCAUGAGGUUGCGGGCAUUGGUGACGCAUAGCCAUUUCUCCAGCUUUCUAUGGGGGACUUUGUUCAUAGAAUAAGCAAAAUAAAAAUGCUCCAAGGAGAACUGGAGAAUUCCUUCAUCAUAGUAAAUUAUUUUCUUAUUUCUUGUGUAUGGGUAUAUUUUUUAACUGCAAGACACUAGAUAGGGCUUUCUCUAGCAUUUAACCAACCCUUUUGCAUAACACACAUACAAAAACUCAUAUUAACAGUUAAAAUACCCUACCUGAAUGCUUUGAUGAAAGAAUACAAUUUCUUUUUCCAAAAAUAUUGCACAAGUUGUUGUUUAUUUGGGGUUUGCACUACUUGCACAAAGUGGGAAACCAUCAAGGUCUGGCCUCAGGAACAUUGCUGCAACUGCAGCUCAAAAGUUUUGCCUCCUUUGAACUAGAAAUUAGUACAUAAAAAACAAAACAAAACCACCAAAACAAAACAAAACAAAAAAGAAAACCAAACACCAAAAUUCCAACCACUGAAAAACAGCCUGCUUCGCUAGCUACUAAAAAAAAAAAAAAAAAAAAACCCAAAAAAAAAAGAACCAACCAAAGAAAAAAACAGUAUUCACGCAUUUGAUACCAAAUCUCUCAGGCAUUUCUUUGUGUUAUAUGUAAAUCAACCUUGGGAAUUCCCUGAUUGUUUCCCACCAAAAAUGCAGAUUGAUAAGGAGUACAGAAAUUGGAUUCUACUAGUAAUUAUAUGGAGUGUAAAAUAAAGUUGCUUCCUACCCAGUUAACCAGGCCCAGCUUCCUUGCAGGCACUGCUUCCAGUUGGGAUAAAAUCAAAGAUUAUCUGAUUUUAAACCUGUCAGCAAUCCUUCAUUGUAAAAGACCUGAGUUAAUAAAACUGCACUGUGAAAUAGUGCAAGCUGGAAAUGGGAGAGAUUUGCUGGGAUCUUGGAGAACAUGUGAGAUGUCUUUUGAAUGAAUUCUAUCCUUUCAAUUGAAAAUAAUAUUUUAGUUUGGACCUUUGUUUUUUGGACAUCAUUGAAAACCACUGUCUAAAUCUUUCUGCUGAUAAGAGCAUUCAGAACCAGAGUCAUUCUGUCCAAAUGCAAACAUUUCUACUGAUGAGAAACCAAAAUCCUCCCUUCCAGCAAUUCUCACUUUAUCAGAAAUGCAAAGCAGAGAUAUUCUGUGACAACAGAGUGACAACAUACUUUGGCAUUGACAGAGAAUGCUUUGGGGAAGAUAUCAAUAGGACCAUUAAGUACAGUGAAUGCGUAGCAAUAGCAAAAAGUGAUGGAUGCAAUGUCAGCUAUUUAACACUGAAAGGACUUCUCCUACAAACUCUUCCUUUCACAAGCCUUCUUGCUCCCACAGGCAAUCUUCUUCUUGGUAAGGGGCUGCAGGAUUAGGAUAAAAAAGAAUUCGUAGCCUAAUCAUUUUUGAGAGAUACUGAGCCUUAUGUAUAUGUACAUAUACACAUAUAUAGCUCUUCUUGUGGGGAAAAAAAAAAGCUCUAGAUGCUGUGGUACUGGAUGGUGUUGCCAGUCCCAAAGCGCAUUAAUACGUAAAAGCCAUGACCUUGCAGACCAAUGGCUUCCAAAAGGGUCUGUAUGUAUUCCUUAAGACCUUUUUGUUGGGUUUGAAAAUGGCUACACUAUAUAAAAAUGCCUUUGAAUUUAUUUUUAAAAAAUUAGCUUUACAAAAAAUCCUUUUCCCUUUUUUUCUUUUUUUUUUUUCUUUUUUCUUUUUCUUAAAGAUAUCAUUAUCUACAGGAACCCAUAAAAAUUUUUCCAUAUUUACAUCUAGAUAGCUAAUCAUUGACAAAUAUAAUAUCGUGAAAUAAAAUAUUGAAAGUGAAUAUUCAACCUUUUAAAUAGACAUUUGGCUCACAGCAUCAACAACAGAGAAAAA